This 451-nucleotide ribosomal RNA is filed under the name uncultured Mycoplasma sp. RNAcentral describes it as "bacterial SSU rRNA". It matches the Rfam family "Bacterial small subunit ribosomal RNA", at positions 335 to 777 of the family's 1533-position model. Lineage: Bacteria; Bacillati; Mycoplasmatota; Mollicutes; Mycoplasmatales; Mycoplasmataceae. The record is from RNAcentral.
ACUCCUACGGGAGGCAGCAGUAGGGAAUUUUUCACAAUGGACGAAAGUCUGAUGGAGCAAUGCCGCGUGGAUGAUGAAGGUUGGAAACAAUUGUAAAAUCCUUUUAUAUGGGAAGAAUUGUAUAGAUAGGAAAUGAUCUAUAUUUGACGGUACCAUUUGAAUAAGUAACGACUAACUAUGUGCCAGCAGUCGCGGUAAUACAUAGGUUGCAAGCGUUAUCCGGAUUUACUGGGCGUAAAACGAGCGCAGGCGGGUUUUCAAGUCUGGUGUUAAAUGCCGUCGCUUAACGACGGCAUGCAUUGGAAACUGUUAACCUAGAGUUUGGUAGAGAGUUCUGGAACUCCAUGUGGAGCGGUGGAAUGCGUGGAUAUAUGGAAGAACACCAGUUGCGAAGGCGAGAACUUGGGCCACAACUGACGCUUAGGCUCGAAAGUGUGGGGAGCAAAUAGGA